UGAAAACAUUAUUUCAGGAGACACAUAACA
RNAcentral lists this non-coding RNA (30 nucleotides) under Mus musculus (house mouse). The record is from RNAcentral. Lineage: Eukaryota; Metazoa; Chordata; Mammalia; Rodentia; Muridae.